GUCCCUGUAGCGCAAUGGAUAACAUGUUGGACUUCUAAUCCAAAGGUCGUGGAUUCGAAUCCCACCUGGGAUG
Molecule: transfer RNA, 73 nt
Filed under: Trichonephila clavata
Lineage: Eukaryota; Metazoa; Arthropoda; Arachnida; Araneae; Nephilidae
Rfam family: tRNA
About the family: Transfer RNA (tRNA) molecules are approximately 80 nucleotides in length.
Source: Rfam by way of RNAcentral